CCUACGGGAGGCAGCAGUGGGGAAUAUUGGGCAAUGGAGGAAACUCUGACCCAGCAACGCCGCGUGAAGGAUGAAGGUUUUCGGAUUGUAAACUUCUGUCGCGAGGGAUGAAGAAUGACGGUACCUCGUAAGAAAGCCCCGGCAAACUAUGUGCCAGCAGCCGCGGUAAUACGGAGGAUCCGAGCGUUAUCCGGAUUUAUUGGGUUUAAAGGGAGCGUAGGCCGGCUUUUAAGUCAGCUGUGAAAGUCCGCGGCUCAACCGUGGAAUUGCAGUUGAAACUGGAGGCCUUGAGUGCACACAGGGAUGCCGGAAUUCAUGGUGUAGCGGUGAAAUGCUUAGAUAUCAUGAAGAACUCCGAUCGCGAAGGCAAGUGUCCGGGGUGCAACUGACGCUGAGGCUCGAAAGUGCGGGUAUCAAACAGGAUUAGAUACCCUAGUAGUC
Molecule: ribosomal RNA, 441 nt
Filed under: uncultured bacterium
Lineage: Bacteria
Description: partial 16S ribosomal RNA
Rfam family: Bacterial small subunit ribosomal RNA
Source: RNAcentral